This 207-nucleotide ribosomal RNA is filed under the name uncultured bacterium. Its description in RNAcentral is "partial 16S ribosomal RNA". It matches the Rfam family "Bacterial small subunit ribosomal RNA", at positions 568 to 774 of the family's 1533-position model. The record is from RNAcentral.
CGCGUAGGCGGGCCGAAAAGUCCGCUGUGAAAGCCCGAGGCUUAACCUCGGCGGGUCGGUGGAUACUUUCGGUCUUGAAGGUGCUAGGGGGAGAUGGAAUUACCGGUGUAGCGGUGAAAUGCGUAGAUAUCGGUAGGAACACCAGUGGCGAAGGCGGUCUCCUGGGGCAUUCUUGACGCUGAGGCGCGAAAGCUGGGGGAGCGAACG